This 954-nucleotide long non-coding RNA is filed under the name Danio rerio (zebrafish). Its description in RNAcentral is "lncRNA (ENSDARG00000117727.1)". Lineage: Eukaryota; Metazoa; Chordata; Actinopteri; Cypriniformes; Danionidae. The record is from RNAcentral.
UUUUUUUCUUUUAGAUGCCAUGAACCCCUCCUAAAUAGGAUAAUCCUGAUGAAAUGGGUCCGCAGACCCAGUUUGAAAUGUGUCAACAACAACAAAAUAUGAUCAAUAUGCAUCCGCUGGAGUACUUCCUGCUGAAAAUGCCACUUCAUUGAACAAUUAAUUAUUCUAAUGAUAGGCCACUACUCAACACUGCUUUUUAUACUUGCGUAGGAGACAGACAGAGAGGAGGAGGAAAGAGAAAAGAAGAAAGCGUAGUCAGCCUGUGUUGCUGCAGGAGUGACAGUAAUACAGCAUGCGAAAUCUAGGUGAGAAGAAGGGUGAAUUUUAAUAAAACAAUGACAGAGUGGAGUUUUUCAGUAAAGUGAGAAUAUAGCACCUAAUGGAAUCUUUUACUUGUUUAUUUAUUUAGUCAAACUGUAUUAGCAGGAUGUCCUCAACUUUUCUGCAGCUUCAUUAUCUUUUUUUUUUUUUUUUUUUGCAACUAUUAUUUAUUUUAUCAUUAUGACUGUUGAAUGCCUUUUGGAUCUGAGAUAAACUUUGAUUAGAAUUUUUUGCAGUCAUAUAAAAUACAUUUAAAUGUUGUCUUAUGCAGAAAAUGAUUUAUUCACAGACGAUGCAAUCUGAUACCAGGAUCAUCGUAUCAACAUCCUUUUUUAAAAAUUGACCGCUUAUCAGUCAGAUGUAACUAAUCCAAAUACAAAUGUCAACCUUCAAAGCUCUAAAAAUGCCAAAAGCACCAUAAAAGUAGCAUAAAGAUAGUUCAUAUAUCUUAUUUUUAAUAUCUCCAGCUAUGCACUAGUAAUACAAUUAUUAAAUCACAAAAUCCACUAACUUUAAAAGCCACUUGAGGUGGUCAAAGUACAGAUCUUGGUAACAAGCACAACUUCAUAUUUUAAUAAAGCAUUAAAUGUUGAAUGUUUAUGCUAUGUUUAUUAACUAACAUACAUUAACUAA